UGCUCUACCAGUGAUGGUCAAAUGAAAAUGUCUGAACAUAUGAGUUCUAUGUGAUAUCAGCAUUUUAUCUGAGGUAAGAGCA
Small nucleolar RNA from Salarias fasciatus (jewelled blenny), 82 nucleotides. Lineage: Eukaryota; Metazoa; Chordata; Actinopteri; Blenniiformes; Blenniidae. The record is from Ensembl.